AAUCCAUGCAUAGGACACUUCCACAUAAAAUCUUUAAACCUUUCUCAUGCUUCAUGCAAGCUUUCAUCGUACAUCUGCUUGAAUGAAGUUAAGUCGUUUUGAAGCUU
Hibiscus syriacus is the source of this 107-nucleotide small nucleolar RNA. The record is from RefSeq and is a predicted model, not a curated record. NCBI's taxonomy places the organism in Eukaryota, Viridiplantae, Streptophyta, Magnoliopsida, Malvales, Malvaceae.